RNAcentral lists this ribosomal RNA (774 nucleotides) under uncultured Neocallimastigales. RNAcentral describes it as "partial large subunit ribosomal RNA". It matches the Rfam family "Eukaryotic large subunit ribosomal RNA", at positions 24 to 616 of the family's 3401-position model. Lineage: Eukaryota; Fungi; Neocallimastigomycota; Neocallimastigomycetes; Neocallimastigales. The record is from RNAcentral.
UACGACUACAUAUCAGGCAUAUCAAUAAGCGGAGGAAAAGAAACUAACUAGGAUUCCCUUAGUAACGGCGAGUGAAGCGGGAAGAGCUCAAAUUUGAAAUCUUCAAGGUUUUACCUUGACGAAUUGUAGUUUAAAGAAGUGUUUUCUGUUGAAGUUUUGGUAAAAGUUCUUUGGAAUAGGACAUCAUAGAGGGUGAGAAUCCCGUAUUUGACCAUUAUUUCAGCUGUGUGAUACACUUUCAAAGAGUCGGAUUGUUUGGGAAUGCAGUCCAAAAUGGGUGGUAAAUUUCAUCUAAAGCUAAAUAUUGGCGAGAGACCGAUAGCGAACAAGUACCGUGAGGGAAAGAUGAAAAGAACUUUGAAAAGAGAGUUAAACAGUACGUGAAAUUGUCAAAAGGGAAGCGUUUGACACCAGUGUUGUUUUCUCGAAAAUCAAUUAAAAAAGGUGGGAUUUUGUGUUGUAUUGACCUUAUCAGCUUUCUGCACUCUUUUCCUGUCUUUUUCUAAUGCACUUUUCGUUUAACAAGUCAACAUCAAUUUCUUUUGUUGUAAAAGGGUCAUUGGAAGGUGGCUUUCUCUUCGGAGAAAGUGUUUAUAGCCUUUGAUCUCUGCAAUCGGAGAGACUGAGGUCUGCAGCGUAGAUCCUUCGGGGUUAGAUACAUUUGUGCUAAGCUACAGCUUUUCAUAGACAACUUGUUGACUAUGUUUAGUCUUGUGACUUACCCGCUUAUGCUAUUUUACCUACGCUUAGGAUGUUGAGCGCAUGUCUCUCUCU